Molecule: transfer RNA, 73 nt
Filed under: Candidatus Dojkabacteria bacterium
Lineage: Bacteria
Description: tRNA-Phe
Rfam family: tRNA
About the family: Transfer RNA (tRNA) molecules are approximately 80 nucleotides in length.
Source: RNAcentral
GCCGAGGUAGCUCAGCUGGUAGAGCACCCGCCUGAAGAGCGGGGUGUCGUCAGUUCAAGUCUGACCCUCGGCA